Long non-coding RNA from Ictalurus punctatus (channel catfish), 1493 nucleotides. Lineage: Eukaryota; Metazoa; Chordata; Actinopteri; Siluriformes; Ictaluridae. The record is from Ensembl.
GCAACACUAAAUAAAUAAAUUCCAACAACCAACAUGUCUUGGCUGAUUGUGUAAAUUUGGUGACGAGGGUUAUAUUGUGUACCUGUGUACAUUGUCAAUUUUAUGCUAAACCACAGUUUAGCAACAAACAAGUACUGUUCAAAUUUUUAAGGUUUUUUUGUUUUUGCAAGUUAUUAUCAAGGGAAAAAAUAUCAAACUGGGGCAUCAUUUUUUUUUUUUUUUUUUUUUUUUAAACAUUUAUUAUUUAUUUAUUUAUUUAUUUAUUUAUUUACAUUUUUAACUUUGAUGCCAUUGAAAUACAACAGAACCCAUUUUGCAGCGAUCAGAGUAGGACUGUGGUUACAUUUGCUUCCUGAGGUGAAGAAAAGUUUUGAGGAACAACUCGUUUCUGAUAAAGAAAGGUUGAGACAAAAGCUUAAAUGGUAUUUUCGAGUUUAUUUUUAUUAAAAGAACACAAGAACUGUUGACUUUUCUGGUGUACAGGGACAUGCUUCUUCCAUUAACAGGGCCCUCUCUGGGCCCCAGAGGUGCUCAUGUAUGUUUGUUGUUGUUGUUGUUGUUGUUGUUUUUCUAAAUGUAACAAAUAUUAUAAACAAAUCAGAACAAUCUUUGCGUACCGAGAGUAAUCGGACCUGAGACGACAGUCGUAAUCGGAGACGUGGGUGGGGUUAAAUAUAUUUACACAGGUUUAGGAGCGGACAACGAAGGGGCUGCUUCCUCUUGCUCUCAGACACUCGGUACACUCUCGCACACAUCUAGCCUGAUUUAAGACAUUCACAGAGUUGAGGGUCUUCCUUUUGGUAAAGAGGGAUCUGGAGGUUUCGAUAUUUAUGUGAACUUCUUGAUCUCGUCAUAGAGGACAAGCACGAAAGCACCGCCCAUUCCUCUCAGCACAUUCGACCAGGCGCCCUUGAAGAAGGCCUUCGGUCCUUCAUCCUUGAUGAUCUUCUUCCAGCAGUCGAUUGUGCCCUUGUACAUGAUGUCAGCUGGGGAAGGGAAGGGGAACGGACAUGUUUAUCGAAACAUCAAUCACACAACGUAUUGUUCGUUAUGCGUGAUCACAGUUUUAGGCUUUGCGACAUCAAGAUCUUUAUAGUCCUUGGAAUUUUUAACCCUAUUGAGUGCUAUGAUCAUACGUGACAAGCUUCGAUGUUCCAGAGUUUCUGUAUGGUGUCACGGUAUUUACACACAAGUUUCAACCAUGAGCAUGAAGGGUACACCAUUGAGUCCCUAAAAGACUGCGGAGACUUUUACGAGUAAGCUCUGCUUACCUCCUUUGCGUCCUGACUGCAUCAUCAUACGACGUCUGACAGUGUCGAAGGGAUAGGAGAUGAUGCCAGCCACAGCAGUGACGGUCUGGGCAAUCAUCCAGCUGAUGACGAUGUGCGUGUUCUUGGGGUCUGGCAGCAUGCCUGCAAGUUGACAUUCAACAAAUUUGCUCUUUAGCACUGGACAGUUUAUUGAUUCCUCGAUGAAGCAAUCAAACAUCAAUU